AGGGGUAUAGCUCUGUGGUAGAGCACAUGUUUAGCAUGCACAAGGGCCGGGUUCAAUCCCCAGUACCUCCA
RNAcentral lists this transfer RNA (71 nucleotides) under Camelus bactrianus (Bactrian camel). It matches the Rfam family "tRNA". Rfam says of the family: Transfer RNA (tRNA) molecules are approximately 80 nucleotides in length. Their secondary structure includes four short double-helical elements and three loops (D, anti-codon, and T loops). Further hydrogen bonds mediate the characteristic L-shaped molecular structure. tRNAs have two regions of fundamental functional importance: the anti-codon, which is responsible for specific mRNA codon recognition, and the 3' end, to which the tRNAs corresponding amino acid is attached (by aminoacyl-tRNA synthetases). tRNAs cope with the degeneracy of the genetic code in two manners: having more than one tRNA (with a specific anti-codon) for a particular amino acid; and 'wobble' base-pairing, i.e. permitting non-standard base-pairing at the 3rd anti-codon position. The record is from Rfam by way of RNAcentral. RNAcentral also lists the same sequence under 2 other names. Lineage: Eukaryota; Metazoa; Chordata; Mammalia; Artiodactyla; Camelidae.